CCGCUCCGGUUAACCCCAGCUGUACUGAGCAGCUGCAAGGUGGCCUGCCAGCCUGAAACUCUCCUCAGACCUGGGACCCUCUUUGGCCUGAACUCUCUGGAGACCCCAGUCCCUUGAGUCGUUUGGGGAUAGUUACCUCCCUUGCCCUCCCCAAUACCGAGGGAAGGCAGCCUCUGGCUGUCCUUCUGUGCCUGUCCUUGGGAAGCUGGCAAACCACAAUGGUGGAAAGCUGGAGGAGGGGCCGUCCUGGACUGUCUGAGGGUGCAGAUGAACGCCUGCCCUGGACCCCACUCUGGGAGAGACUCCCCAGUUCCUGGCAGGGAGCAGAGCUGCCCUGAGGGGAAGCAAGUCAGGAGUGCGAUCCGCAGAGAUUAGAAAUUGGAAGCACUCGGAGGGGCACCGCGGAGCUGCAGGAGACCCAUAAACUCAAGAUCCGAGGACACAGCCGGGGAAGCCAGGGACAAAUAGGGAAGGAAGCAGCAGCGCUUGGGAGAGAGUUGGAGCGCCUGGAGGGGCAAACUGCCCUUGCGGAUGAGGGGGCCAGGGCGGGACAGAGCAAAGGCAGGCAGCGCACUGUGUUCGAGGCCCUGAGCAGGAGCCCAGGGCACACAGUGGCUGAACCGGUGCCUCUGCCUCUACAGAUGCCCGCGCCGUCGCGGCGCAUCCUCCUGCCCAGCUCUCCAGACAACGCACGGAGCACCGAGGAGACUCAUUCGUGGCACAGCCAGGAUCUCGCGAGGAAGUGUGGGUGGAGGGUGAGGAGAGAACUCGUGCAGAGCAUGGGUGUGUGAACGAGUGCUGUGUGAGUGCAUGUGUGUGUAAAUGUGUGGGAGUGUGCCUGAGUCAGAUUGUGCGCCCACGCGUGCGUAUAUAUGGGUGUACACGCCCUGGUUUCCACCGCAUUCUCCAUAAUCUUAAAAAUACUGAAGACCAGUAUGGUGGCGCACAGCUGUAAUCCCGGCACUCAGGAGCUGAGGCAGCAGGAUCACAAGUUCAAACCUAGCCUGGACAAUCUAACAAACACUUGUCUCAAAAUAACAAUAAAAAUAUAAAAGUGCUGAG
RNAcentral lists this long non-coding RNA (1062 nucleotides) under Cavia porcellus (domestic guinea pig). RNAcentral describes it as "lncRNA (ENSCPOG00000035288.1)". Lineage: Eukaryota; Metazoa; Chordata; Mammalia; Rodentia; Caviidae. The record is from RNAcentral.